AACGAACGCUGGCGGCAUGCCUAACACAUGCAAGUCGAACGAGACCUUCGGGUCUAGUGGCGCACGGGUGCGUAACGCGUGGGAACCUGCCCUUAGGUUCGGAAUAACUCCCCGAAAGGGGUGCUAAUACCGGAUAAUGUCUUCGGACCAAAGAUUUAUCGCCUUUGGAUGGGCCCGCGUUGGAUUAGCUAGUUGGUAGGGUAAAAGCCUACCAAGGCGACGAUCCAUAGCUGGUCUGAGAGGAUGAUCAGCCACACUGGGACUGAGACACGGCCCAGACUCCUACGGGAGGCAGCAGUGGGGAAUCUUGGACCAUGGGCGAAAGCCUGAUCCAGCAAUGCCGCGUGAGUGAUGAAGGCCUUAGAGUUGUAAAGCUCUUUUACCCGGGAUGAUAAUGACAGUACCGGGAGAAUAAGCUCCGGCUAACUCCGUG
This 433-nucleotide ribosomal RNA is filed under the name uncultured bacterium. RNAcentral describes it as "partial 16S ribosomal RNA". It matches the Rfam family "Bacterial small subunit ribosomal RNA", at positions 29 to 507 of the family's 1533-position model. The record is from RNAcentral.